GACGAACGCUGGCGGCGUGCUUAACACAUGCAAGUCGAACGGUAAGGCCCUUCGGGGUACACGAGUGGCGAACGGGUGAGUAACACGUGGGUGAUCUGCCCUGCACUUCGGGAUAAGCCUGGGAAACUGGGUCUAAUACCGGAUAGGACCACUGCCUGCAUGGGUGGUGGUGGAAAGCUUUUGCGGUGUGGGAUGGGCCCGCGGCCUAUCAGCUUGUUGGUGGGGUGAUGGCCUACCAAGGCGACGACGGGUAGCCGGCCUGAGAGGGUGACCGGCCACACUGGGACGGAGAUACGGCCCAGACUCCUACGGGAGGCAGCAGUGGGGAAUAUUGCACAACGGGCGCAAGCCUGAUGCAGCGACGCCGCGUGAGGGAUGACGGCCUUCGGGUUGUAAACCUCUUUCAGCACCGACGAAGCGCAAGUGACGGUAGGUGCAGAAGAAGGACCGGCCAACUACGUGCCGGCAGCCGCCGUAA
This 478-nucleotide ribosomal RNA is filed under the name uncultured bacterium. Its description in RNAcentral is "partial 16S ribosomal RNA". It matches the Rfam family "Bacterial small subunit ribosomal RNA", at positions 28 to 523 of the family's 1533-position model. The record is from RNAcentral.